GAUGAACGCUAGCGGCAGGCUUAACACAUGCAAGUCGAGGGGUAACAGGGUUUGCUUGCAAACCGCUGACGACCGGCGCACGGGUGCGUAACGCGUAUACAAUUUACCUUUUACAGGGGGAUAGCCCAGAGAAAUUUGGAUUAAUACCCCAUAGUAUUAUAGAUCGGCAUCGGUUUAUAAUUAAAGAUUUAUCGGUAGGAGAUGAGUAUGCGUUCUAUUAGCUAGUUGGUACGGUAACGGCGUACCAAGGCGACGAUAGAUAGGGGUCCUGAGAGGGAGAUCCCCACACUGGUACUGAGACACGGACCAGACUCCUACGGGAGGCAGCAGUGAGGAAUAUUGGGCAAUGGACGAGAGUCUGACCCAGCCAUGCCGCGUGCAGGAAGACUGCCCUAUGGGUUGUAAACUGCUUUUAUACAGGAAGAAACCCACCUACGUGUAGGUGGCUGACGGUACUGUAUGAAUAAGCACCGGCUAACUCCGUG
Molecule: ribosomal RNA, 485 nt
Filed under: uncultured bacterium
Lineage: Bacteria
Description: bacterial SSU rRNA
Rfam family: Bacterial small subunit ribosomal RNA
Source: RNAcentral